CACAAAGGCUUGGUCCUGACUUUACUGUCAGCUCUAACUAAAUUUACACAUGCGAGUAUCCGCACCCCCGUGAGAAUGCCCGCCAGUUUUCCCACCCGAAAACAAGGAGCCGGUAUCAGGCACAGAUUUAAUGCUAGCCCAUAACACCUUGCUUAGCCACACCCCUAAGGGAAUUCAGCAGUGAUAAACAUUAAGCCAUAAGCGAAAGCUUGACUUAGUUAAAGCUAAGAGAGCCGGUAAAACUCGUGCCAGCUACCGCGGUUAUACGAGAGGCUCAAGUUGACAGAUCAACGGCGUAAAGAGUGGUUAAGGAACCCACCCCACUAAAGUCGAACACCCCCAGAACUGUUAUACGUUCCCGAGGAUAAGAAGCCCCACCACGAAAGUGACUUUAUUACCCCCUGACUCCACGAAAGCUGUGGUACAAACUGGGAUUAGAUACCCCACUAUGCUCAGCCAUAAAUUCUGAUAGACCAUUACAUCCCCUAUCCGCCUGGGUACUACGAGCACCAGCUUAAAACCCGAAGGACUUGGCGGUGCUUUAGAUCCACCUAGAGGAGCCUGUUCUAGAACCGAUAAUCCCCGUUAAACCUCACCCUCCCUUGUUCCUUCCCGCCUAUAUACCGCCGUCGUCAGCUUACCCUGUGAAGGACUGAUAGUAAGCAAAAUUGGCAUAGCCCAAAACGCCAGGUCGAGGUGUAGCGAAUGAGAGGGGAAGAAAUGGGCUACAUUUCCUGAGCACAGGAUAACACGGACAAUGCACUGAAACGUACAUUUAAAGGAGGAUUUAGCAGUAAGCAGAAAAUAGAGUGUUCCGCUGAAACUGGCCCUGAAGCGCGCACACACCGCCCGUCACUCUCCCCGAACUGAAACCAAACAUUUUACCUAAAAGCCCAUAUCAACAAAGGGGAGGCA
RNAcentral lists this non-coding RNA (915 nucleotides) under Stegastes nigricans (dusky farmerfish). Its description in RNAcentral is "partial 12S ribosomal RNA". It matches the Rfam family "Bacterial small subunit ribosomal RNA". Lineage: Eukaryota; Metazoa; Chordata; Actinopteri; Pomacentridae. The record is from RNAcentral.